AUUGAACGCUGGCGGCAUGCCUUACACAUGCAAGUCGAACGGCAGCGCGGACUUCGGUCCGGCGGCGAGUGGCGAACGGGUGAGUAAUACAUCGGAACGUACCCUGUUGUGGGGGAUAACUAGUCGAAAGAUUAGCUAAUACCGCAUACGACCUGAGGGUGAAAGUGGGGGACCGCAAGGCCUCACGCAGCAGGAGCGGCCGAUGUCUGAUUAGCUAGGUGGUGGGGUAAAGGCCCACCAAGGCGACGAUCAGUAGCUGGUCUGAGAGGACGAUCAGCCACACUGGGACUGAGACACGGCCCAGCCUCCUACGGGAGGCCGCAGUGGGGAAUUUUGGACAGUGGGGGCAACCCUGAUCCAGCAAUGCCGCGUGUGUGAAGAAGGCCUUCGGGUUGUAAAGCACUUUUGUCCGGAAAGAAAUCGCGCUGGUUAAUACCUGGCGUGGAUGACGGUACCGGAAGAAUAAGCACCGGCUAACUACGUGCCAGCAGCCGCGGUAA
This 500-nucleotide ribosomal RNA is filed under the name uncultured bacterium. Its description in RNAcentral is "partial 16S ribosomal RNA". It matches the Rfam family "Bacterial small subunit ribosomal RNA", at positions 29 to 523 of the family's 1533-position model. The record is from RNAcentral.